AGCGAACGCUGGCGGCAGGCUUAACACAUGCAAGUCGAGCGGGCACUUUCGGGUGUCAGCGGCGGACGGGUGAGUAACGCGUGGGAACGUGCCCUCUGGUUCGGAAUAACUCAGGGAAACUUGAGCUAAUACCGGAUACGCCCUUUUGGGGAAAGGCUUGCUGCCGGAGGAUCGGCCCGCGUCUGAUUAGCUAGUCGGUGAGGUAACGGCUCACCAAGGCGACGAUCAGUAGCUGGUCUGAGAGGAUGAUCAGCCACACUGGGACUGAGACACGGCCCAGACUCCUACGGGAGGCAGCAGUGGGGAAUAUUGGACAAUGGGGGCAAGCCUGAUCCAGCCAUGCCGGGUGAGUGAUGAAGGCCUUAGGGUUGUAAAGCUCUUUUAUCCGGGACGAUAAUGACGGUACCGGAGGAAUAAGCCCCGGCUAACUUCGUG
Molecule: ribosomal RNA, 435 nt
Filed under: uncultured bacterium
Lineage: Bacteria
Description: partial 16S ribosomal RNA
Rfam family: Bacterial small subunit ribosomal RNA
Source: RNAcentral